Molecule: ribosomal RNA, 252 nt
Filed under: uncultured bacterium
Lineage: Bacteria
Description: partial 16S ribosomal RNA
Rfam family: Bacterial small subunit ribosomal RNA
Source: RNAcentral
UACGUAGGGGGCAAGCGUUAUCCGGAAUUAUUGGGCGUAAAGAGGGAGCAGGCGGCAGCAAAGGUCUGUGGUGAAAGACUGAAGCUUAACUUCAGUAAGCCAUAGAAACCGGGCAGCUAGAGUGCAGGAGAGGAUCGUGGAAUUCCAUGUGUAGCGGUGAAAUGCGUAGAUAUAUGGAGGAACACCAGUGGCGAAAGCGACGAUCUGGCCUGCAACUGACGCUCAGUCCCGAAAGCGUGGGGAGCAAAUAGG